GCCCCCAUAGCCCAAUUGGCAGAGGCGGUGGACUUAAAAUCCAUACAGUGUCGGUUCGAGCCCGACUGGGGGCACAA
Molecule: transfer RNA, 77 nt
Filed under: Corynebacterium pseudodiphtheriticum
Lineage: Bacteria; Bacillati; Actinomycetota; Actinomycetes; Mycobacteriales; Corynebacteriaceae
Also listed under: 4 other names
Description: tRNA-Leu
Rfam family: tRNA
About the family: Transfer RNA (tRNA) molecules are approximately 80 nucleotides in length. Their secondary structure includes four short double-helical elements and three loops (D, anti-codon, and T loops). Further hydrogen bonds mediate the characteristic L-shaped molecular structure. tRNAs have two regions of fundamental functional importance: the anti-codon, which is responsible for specific mRNA codon recognition, and the 3' end, to which the tRNAs corresponding amino acid is attached (by aminoacyl-tRNA synthetases). tRNAs cope with the degeneracy of the genetic code in two manners: having more than one tRNA (with a specific anti-codon) for a particular amino acid; and 'wobble' base-pairing, i.e. permitting non-standard base-pairing at the 3rd anti-codon position.
Source: RNAcentral